This 301-nucleotide ribosomal RNA is filed under the name uncultured bacterium. Its description in RNAcentral is "partial 16S ribosomal RNA". It matches the Rfam family "Bacterial small subunit ribosomal RNA", at positions 509 to 807 of the family's 1533-position model. The record is from RNAcentral.
CAGUCGCCGCGGGAAUACGUAGGGUGCAAGCGUUAAUCGGAAUUACUGGGCGUAAAGCGUGCGCAGGCGGUUUGUUAAGACAGAUGUGAAAUCCCCGGGCUCAACCUGGGAACUGCAUUUGUGACUGGCAAGCUAGAGUGUGGCAGAGGGGGGUGGAAUUCCGCGUGUAGCAGUGAAAUGCGUAGAUAUGCGGAGGAACACCGAUGACGAAGGCAGCCCCCUGGGCCAACACUGACGCUCAUGCGCGAAAGCGUGGGGAGCAAGCAGGAUUAGAUACCCGUGUAGUCCCUGUCUCUUAUAC